RNAcentral lists this ribosomal RNA (408 nucleotides) under Triticum aestivum (bread wheat). RNAcentral describes it as "partial small subunit ribosomal RNA". The record is from RNAcentral. Lineage: Eukaryota; Viridiplantae; Streptophyta; Magnoliopsida; Poales; Poaceae.
AUGUACUCUACAAGACAACACUUCAUUGCUGUAUUUGUCUAUCCUCCCAGGUUGGAUCAUACACAUGCUGAUGAGCUCUUCGAAGUACUUUUCUGCAACAUCCUCUGCAUCCAGCCCACUGUUUCUACUCACGUGCACGAACCCUUCGACUACCCAUUUCCUCAACAAAUUAUGUUUAUCUAUCUCGCGAUCCUCUGGAUACAUACAAACAUAAAGCAGACAUGUCUUAAGAUGAUCAGGAAGAUGUAUGUAGCUAAGAUCCAAUAUUUGCUUCAUCUUUUCAUGAUCAUCUCCUUCAGUCAUAGCACCCAAAGAUUUCCAUACAUACUCCCAGGUCGAGUCUGUCUUGCCAGCCAGAAGGCUUGCUAUGCUAUUAAUAGCAAGUGGCAUACCACCACAUCUAUUUAG